GACGAACGCUGGCGGCGUGCUUAACACAUGCAAGUCGAACGGAAAGGCCCUGCUUUUGUGGGGUGCUCGAGUGGCGAACGGGUGAGUAACACGUGAGUAACCUGCCCUUGACUUUGGGAUAACUUCAGGAAACUGGGGCUAAUACCGGAUAGGAGCUCCUGCUGCAUGGUGGGGGUUGGAAAGUUUCGGCGGUUGGGGAUGGACUCGCGGCUUAUCAGCUUGUUGGUGGGGUAGUGGCUUACCAAGGCUUUGACGGGUAGCCGGCCUGGGAGGGUGACCGGCAACUUGGGCGCGGGGAACCGGCCCAGACCCUCAGGGAGGGCAGAAGGGGGAAAAGUUCAAAAAGGGGCGAAACCCGGAGGGAGCAACCCCGGGGGGGGGGGGCCGGCUUUCGGGUGGUAACCCGCUUUCCCCUGGGACGAAGGGGGAGUGACGGUAAUGGGUAAAGAAGCACCGGCUAACUACGU
This 467-nucleotide ribosomal RNA is filed under the name uncultured bacterium. RNAcentral describes it as "partial 16S ribosomal RNA". It matches the Rfam family "Bacterial small subunit ribosomal RNA", at positions 28 to 506 of the family's 1533-position model. The record is from RNAcentral.